CCUUCCCUGAGGAUCUAUGAGGAAAGGCACAUGGAGGACCUAUAAAAAGGACCCCAUGCUCUUCUGCCCAAUCUCCCCCAGCAGAAGGCAUGACCCACGAUCUAUAUGGGCUCAUUUGGACCCUAUUCUUCAGUUCCUGGCAAAAGACCACACUAAUGUCCAAAGCCUUCACUUUUUUAGUGAUAGACCUGCCACCCAAUGCAAGAACCGUGCAAACUUUUAUAUGACAGCCACUGAACCACACCAAAGAGGUUUCUCAACAGUGAUGUGGAACUUCUUUGAGGCAAGUCAUGGAAAGGGUGCACCAAAUGGAGUGGGGGCUGCACUGAAAAGAACGGCAUUAGUUAGGCAAGGUAGAGAUAUGCCAAAUGCAGGGACCUUUUUCCAACUGCUAAAAGAUACAGGCAAGGUUAAACUCUUCUAUGUAAGUGAGGAGGAAGUUGAGAAGAAGGGUGAAGGUUUGAAAGAAGUGUCCCUGUUCACCAUCAAGGGCACAAUGAGGAUGCAUGAAGUCCUCAGUGAUUCGCAUGGCAUUCUAAAACACAGGAACAUCAGCUGUUUCUGCCAUUCUGCUGAGGGAAUCUUUGGCUGUUUAUUCUAUGGUCUAGAAGAGGUUAGCUAUGGAUGCAAUUGAUGAAACGGAUGAAGAGUUUAGACCCAAUGUCAUCGAGCACCAUCGCAGUGGGCAAUGGUGUGUUGUUUGCGAUGAUGAUGAACCCUACCCUAGGAUAAUAUUGAAGGUGGAGGAAAAUAAUGUGGAAGUCAAGUGCAUGCACUGAAAUGGAGUGCCCAGAGAUGAUAUUAACUGGUAUCAUGAUGACCAGAUCAUGUGCCUGAUGAGCCCCUAGCACUGAAUAGGCAUUCAGCUGAAAUUGAUCAGAGGUCCUGGGAGCUCAUUCUGAGACAGCUAGACAAGUGAAAUAAGGCAACAUAAAUUGUAAAAUAGGGACAGUUUACCCCUCUUAAUUAUAACCUAGUAACAUAGCAUGACAUAAAAAAUAGUAGCAGACAAUUGUAGUUUAGAUAAUGGUCUUUGUUGGGCCUUUUUUAGUUGUUACUCUUAAUUAAGUUCAAAUGUGCUUAAACUGUUGUUUAUGAACGUUCAAGUGUUUUGAGCGAUUGUCAAUGAGUUUGACUGCAUGCCAAAUGAAACCAUUUUCUUAAUUAGAAUUGAAGAAUAAGAAUCUUUGGUCUUGUAUGUCACUGGCAUUUCAUUGUGUCACUGGUGUUACUGUGUGUUUUUUCUGUAUCAUUAAAUAAAAUGUGUCAUGUUUGACAGGAUGAUGAUUUUAUAUUCAUGAUAUUUUGCUACACUGAAGAGUUCAGAUUCCAAGGAUUGCAUAAUUACUUAUUUAUAACAGUUAUUUUUAAAAUAUUUAUAUUUUUAUAGGAAAUUCAUGGUUGUGCA
Ictalurus punctatus (channel catfish) is the source of this 1408-nucleotide long non-coding RNA. The record is from Ensembl. NCBI's taxonomy places the organism in Eukaryota, Metazoa, Chordata, Actinopteri, Siluriformes, Ictaluridae.